AACGAACGCUGGCGGCAGGCCUAAUACAUGCAAGUCGAGCGCGCCCUUCGGGGUGAGCGGCGGACGGGUGAGUAACGCGUGGGAAUAUGCCCUUCUCUAAGGAAUAGCCUCUGGAAACGGAGAGUAAUACCUUAUACGCCCUUCGGGGGAAAGAUUUAUCGGAGAAGGAUUAGCCCGCGUUAGAUUAGGUAGUUGGUGGGGUAAUGGCCUACCAAGCCUACGAUCUAUAGCUGGUUUGAGAGGAUGAUCAGCCACACUGGGACUGAGACACGGCCCAGACUCCUACGGGAGGCAGCAGUAGGGAAUCUUAGACAAUGGGGGCAACCCUGAUCUAGCCAUGCCGCGUGUGUGAUGAAGGCCCUAGGGUCGUAAAGCACUUUCGCCAGAGAUGAUAAUGACAGUAUCUGGUAAAGAAACCCCGGCUAACUCCGUGCCAGCAGCCGCGGUAAUACGGAGGGGGUUAGCGUUGUUCGGAAUUACUGGGCGUAAAGCGCACGUAGGCGGAUUAGUAAGUUAGAGGUGAAAUCCCAGGGCUCAACCCUGGAACUGCCUUUAAUACUGCUAGUCUUGAGUUCGAGAGAGGUAAGUGGAAUUCCGAGUGUAGAGGUGAGAUUCGUAGAUAUUCGGAGGAACACCAGUGGCGAAGGCGGCUUACUGGCUCGAUACUGACGCUGAGGUGCGAAAGUGUGGGGAGCAAACAGGAUUAGAUACCCUGGUAGUCCACACCGUAAACGAUGAAUGCCAGACGUCAGCAAGUAUACUUGUUGGUGUCACACCUAACGGAUUAAGCAUUCCGCCUGGGGAGUACGGUCGCAAGAUUAAAACUCAAAGGAAUUGACGGGGGCCCGCACAAGCGGUGGAGCAUGUGCUUUAAUUCGAAGCAACGCGCAGAACCUUACCAACCCUUGACAUCCUGUGCUACUACCAGAGAUGGUACGUUCCCUUCGGGGACGCAGUGACAGGUGCUGCAUGGCUGUCGUCAGCUCGUGUCGUGAGAUGUUCGGUUAAGUCCGGCAACGAGCGCAACCCACAUCUUUAGUUGCCAGCAGGUUAAGCUGGGCACUCUAGAGAAACUGCCCGUGAUAAGCGGGAGGAAGGUGUGGAUGACGUCAAGUCCUCAUGGCCCUUACGGGUUGGGCUACACACGUGCUACAAUGGCAGUGACAAUGGGUUAAUCCCCAAAAGCUGUCUCAGUUCGGAUUGGGGUCUGCAACUCGACCCCAUGAAGUCGGAAUCGCUAGUAAUCGCGUAACAGCAUGACGCGGUGAAUACGUUCCCGGGCCUUGUACACACCGCCCGUCACACCAUGGGAGUUGGUUCUACCCGACGACGCUGCGCUAACCCUUCGGGGAGGCAGGCGGCCACGGUAGGAUCAGCGACUGGGGUG
This 1387-nucleotide ribosomal RNA is filed under the name uncultured marine bacterium. RNAcentral describes it as "bacterial SSU rRNA". It matches the Rfam family "Bacterial small subunit ribosomal RNA". The record is from RNAcentral.